GACGAACGCUGGCGGCGUGCUUAACACAUGCAAGUCGAACGGAAAGGCCCUGCUUGCAGGGUACUCGAGUGGCGAACGGGUGAGUAACACGUGGGUGAUCUGCCCUGCACUUCGGGAUAAGCCUGGGAAACUGGGUCUAAUACCGGAUAGGAGCCAUUUUUAGUGUGAUGGUUGGAAAGUUUUUUCGGUGUAGGAUGAGCUCGCGGCCUAUCAGCUUGUUGGUGGGGUAAUGGCCUACCAAGGCGGCGACGGGAAGCCGGCCUGAGAGGGUGGACGGCCACAUUGGGACUGAGAUACGGCCCAGACUCCUACGGGAGGCAGCAGUGGGGAAUAUUGCACAAUGGGCGCAAGCCUGAUGCAGCGACGCCGCGUGGGGGAUGACGGCCUUCGGGUUGUAAACUCCUUUCGCUAGGGACGAAGCUUUUUGUGACGGUACCUAGAUAAGAAGCACCGGCUAACUACGUG
Molecule: ribosomal RNA, 465 nt
Filed under: uncultured bacterium
Lineage: Bacteria
Description: partial 16S ribosomal RNA
Rfam family: Bacterial small subunit ribosomal RNA
Source: RNAcentral